GACACAUUGAGAGGAGUUAUCCUCUUUUGAUAGGGGAUCCUCCAUUAGCUAACUUCUUGGUUACCACCCUUUGACUGCAUUUAGUGGUUAUAGUUUAUGCCUGUUAGAUGCAUUGAGGAUAAAAUCAGUGUAUAUUAGGAUCCUUAAAUAUUAAAUGUUGCUUAAGUGCAAUGUUUCAAAUUGUGGAAAUCUAGAACAUGUCCCUAAAAAU
Molecule: unclassified non-coding RNA, 211 nt
Filed under: Hevea brasiliensis (rubber tree)
Lineage: Eukaryota; Viridiplantae; Streptophyta; Magnoliopsida; Malpighiales; Euphorbiaceae
Source: RNAcentral